Long non-coding RNA from Harpia harpyja (harpy eagle), 336 nucleotides. RefSeq lists it as uncharacterized. The record is from RefSeq and is a predicted model, not a curated record. Lineage: Eukaryota; Metazoa; Chordata; Aves; Accipitriformes; Accipitridae. The transcript has 2 exons.
UGUCAUCUAAGUAAAACAGCAGAAAAAGACGCAUUAUCAAAAAUGUAUAACCAUCAAGGAAUACCUUAUAUAUCUGACUGCAGCUGCCACUGUGACUCUUCCCCUUGCAUCCUUGCUGACCAACAGGCACCAGCAAACCCUUCCUCUGGACACAGCGUGUCUGCGCCUUCCACCAUCACCGUUCUUCCUGGUCCUUGGGAACGUAACCCUCAUCCUUGCUGCAACCUACAACUUGCUUUUUUAUGGUGGUUACCUCGCUGGAUGCAGUUCCCUUCUAAGGAUGUAGAAAAUAAUAAAAUUUGUAAUAACUUUCAGUAAGAUUGCAACUGAAAACAA